AUCCUUUAGCUACAUCUACCAUCUGUCCUUAAGCCUUUAACUUAUCAGCUUAAUAUCUGAUAUGGUCCCUAUUUGGGGCCAUCGAUAUCAAACUGAUUUUUAGAAUGAGGCAAAGAGUUAGGGGCUUGCUCCGCCUUUGCCAUGGGUUGGCCUGGUAUAGCAGUGCUUCCAGGAUUCAGCCCAUCUCCC
Small nuclear RNA from Octopus sinensis (East Asian common octopus), 189 nucleotides. RefSeq annotates it as U2 spliceosomal RNA. The transcript has a single exon. The record is from RefSeq and is a predicted model, not a curated record. NCBI's taxonomy places the organism in Eukaryota, Metazoa, Mollusca, Cephalopoda, Octopoda, Octopodidae.